This 716-nucleotide long non-coding RNA is filed under the name Phoenix dactylifera (date palm). RNAcentral's name for it is "long non-coding RNA (PDAC_LNC018294)". The record is from RNAcentral. Lineage: Eukaryota; Viridiplantae; Streptophyta; Magnoliopsida; Arecales; Arecaceae.
UACUUACAUUCUUCACUAAUCAUGCAUACAAUUCAAAUUGUAUAAAAAACACUGGUUCAUCUUAUAAAACGUAAUACAAGAUCUACGAUAGGAUUAAGACAGAUUACUUACAUCAAUUCGCUUUCCAAAUUGCUCAAGUCCAGGUGACAAAUCCUUAAUCACCUAAAACAACAUCAUAGGGAUUACAUUAUUCCCCAUUUAUUUAUUAUAAAAUCUCUUAGUUCAUCAUACUAUGAACUUACUUACUUGGAUCCCAUCCAAGGAUUUAGCCCAAGUCCAAUUAACCCAAUUUUGAGCCUUUGGGGCUCAGUUUAAAACCAAAAUGGGUCAAUAGGCUUAGUCCCAAGUUUAAUUGGGUUUAAUUUUGGUUCAGGGUCAAUGUGACUCAUUUGGGCCUGAGUCAGGGUUAGCCCAAGGUAAAUUUGACCUUCUGUCAGUUGAAUUGGGCUUGGAUUGGGCCUGAUUCAUAAUCAAUUAGGUCUGCUGAGAUCAAUUCAGCUUAAUUGGGUUCGGACCCAAUUCAAUUUGGGCUUAAUUCGGUUUGGAUUUGACCCAAUUUGCAGUUUGGGCUCGUCCAGACUUAGCCUAAUCUGAUUAGGCUCGGGUUCAGGUUCAAUUGGCUAAACCAAUUUCUUAUUAUUGGGCUUAACGGGUUUCGGACCCGAACCCCGAUCCGUCCCGUUAGGCCGGACCCGUUAGGGGUCUCUUCUCUUUCU